Molecule: small RNA, 69 nt
Filed under: Klebsiella pneumoniae
Lineage: Bacteria; Pseudomonadati; Pseudomonadota; Gammaproteobacteria; Enterobacterales; Enterobacteriaceae
Also listed under: 2 other names
Description: partial RtT sRNA
Rfam family: RtT RNA
About the family: This family represents a bacterial cis-regulatory element known as RtT RNA.
Source: RNAcentral
UAUUCUGCCCUACAGGGAAGGAUGAGAAGCUUCGACUAAGGUUCGACUCGAGCGAAGCGAGAGAACGUU